AAACGGUACAGGAUGUGCUUGCACAUCGCUGACGAGUGGCGGACGGGUGAGUAAUGCUUAGGGAUCUGCCUCUGUGUGGGGGAUAACUAUUGGAAACGAUAGCUAAUACCGCAUAAUGUUUACGGACCAAAGGGGGCGUUUGCUCCCGCGCAGAGAGGAACCUAAGUGAGAUUAGCUAGUUGGUAAGGUAAUGGCUUACCAAGGCGACGAUCUCUAGCUGUUCUGAGAGGAAGAUCAGCCACACUGGGACUGAGACACGGCCCAGACUCCUACGGGAGGCAGCAGUGGGGAAUAUUGCACAAUGGGGGGAACCCUGAUGCAGCCAUGCCGCGUGUGUGAAGAAGGCCUUCGGGUUGUAAAGCACUUUCAGUUGUGAGGAAAGGUUAGUAGUUAAUACCUGCUAGCUGUGACGUUAGCAACAGAAGAAGCACCGGCUAACUCCGUGCCAGCAGCCGCGGUAAUACGGAGGGUGCGAGCGUUAAUCGGAAUUACUGGGCGUAAAGCGCACGCAGGCGGUUUGUUAAGCUAGAUGUGAAAGCCCCGAGCUCAACUUGGGAUGGUCAUUUAGAACUGGCAGACUAAAGUCUUUG
RNAcentral lists this ribosomal RNA (590 nucleotides) under uncultured Gammaproteobacteria bacterium. Its description in RNAcentral is "bacterial SSU rRNA". It matches the Rfam family "Bacterial small subunit ribosomal RNA", at positions 64 to 652 of the family's 1533-position model. Lineage: Bacteria; Pseudomonadati; Pseudomonadota; Gammaproteobacteria. The record is from RNAcentral.